Molecule: ribosomal RNA, 437 nt
Filed under: uncultured bacterium
Lineage: Bacteria
Description: bacterial SSU rRNA
Rfam family: Bacterial small subunit ribosomal RNA
Source: RNAcentral
UUCUUGUCGGCGCCCGGCGCACGGGUGAGUAACGCGUAUCCAACUUCCCCUUAGUAGAGGAUAGCCCGGCGAAAGUCGGAUUAAUACUCUAUGUUUUCCGUUGAUGGCAUCUGAAAUGGAUCAAAGGUUUACCGCUAAGGGAUGGGGAUGCGUCUGAUUAGGUAGUCGGCGGGGUAACGGCCCACCGAGCCGACGAUCAGUAGGGGUUCUGAGAGGAAGGUCCCCCACAUUGGAACUGAGACACGGUCCAAACUCCUACGGGAGGCAGCAGUGAGGAAUAUUGGUCAAUGGGCGAGAGCCUGAACCAGCCAAGUAGCGUGCAGGAUGACGGCCCUAUGGGUUGUAAACUGCUUUUGCAUGGGAAUAAAGUGCGGGACGCGUCCCGUUUUGUAUGUACCAUGAGAAUAAGGACCGGCUAAUUCCGUGCCAGCCGCUGC